This 394-nucleotide long non-coding RNA is filed under the name Homo sapiens (human). Its description in RNAcentral is "HSALNT0115663". Lineage: Eukaryota; Metazoa; Chordata; Mammalia; Primates; Hominidae. The record is from RNAcentral.
CUGAUACAUCUACCCUGGGAAGGAAGUUGCCCCUCCUAUUUCCCAGGUGACAGCGCUGGGCACUCAGACUGCGGGGAACUGACCUAUGACCACACAGCGAGCAGGUGGAGGAGGGGAACACCAGCCCUGGGUUUCUCUCGCCCUAACAGCGGACCAGGCCACGGGUUCUCAAGCAUGGCUGCCCAUCAGAGUCAUCUGGGGAGUUUUAAAAAUCCUGGUGCCUGUCACACCCCCUAUCACUGUCAUGGAUAUGUGAUGGAGGCCAGGGAAGACUCAGCUUCAAGAAAUGGAUCUACUCCUCACCAAGGAUAGAGGGAAGUUGUGCCUCUGUUAAGAUAGAAACAUGUAAAUAAUAGCAUUCUCGACACCAUUGCAGGAGGUCAGCAAACUUUUU